CUUUUCUCCUGCAUAUAAGGAACUCAAUUUACUCCUCUCUUUCUCAUACCUUCCCUUGACUUCAAAUAAUAUUCUUAUUUUCAUAUCCUUUCACUUAUUCAUUCAUAUACCAACAAAUGACAUCAUCUUGGACUGCAAGGCAGAACAAACUGUUCGAACAAGCAUUAGCUUUAUACGAUAGAGAAACUCCUGAUAGAUGGCACAAUGUUGCCAAUGUGGUUGGAAAAUCAGUUGAAGAUGUUAAAAGUCACUAUGAAAUCCUCAAAGAAGAUGUUCAACGUAUUGAGCAUGGCCAUGUUCCUUUUCCUCGCUACAAAACUAACACCAACAAUUGAUCCUAAUAAGGUUCUUGAAGAAUUCAAUAAGCUUGAAUAAUCAAUAUUUGAGUUUAUCUUUAAUAAACAACAAUGGAUAGUGUUUCUUUGGCGCAAGCUAUCCUGCCAAAUGAAUUGUGACAGCCUUUAUUCUCCUCAAAAUUUUAUUUAUUUAGAAUAA
This is a long non-coding RNA of Lathyrus oleraceus (garden pea), 495 nucleotides long. RefSeq lists it as uncharacterized. The transcript is spliced from 2 exons. The record is from RefSeq and is a predicted model, not a curated record. Lineage: Eukaryota; Viridiplantae; Streptophyta; Magnoliopsida; Fabales; Fabaceae.